GUCUGUCUCCGGGACCCGGCGCCGGGACCACGGCGGAGCGCGAGGUGGCGCCGCCCCUCCCCGCAGCCCGCCCCUGGAACGCGCAUCCUCCUGGCGAGCUGGCAUCCCUCCCGACACGUGACCGCAGCGGGGACACGCCCGUUCCCCGCCCACUCCCCGCCCCUGCCUGGCCUGCCCACGCCCCCGGCCCGCUCCUGUCCCGCCUGGGCCACCGGCGCUGGUUCCAGGUUUUGCCAGCUACUAGGGACGCGUAAAGCCUUCGCGCUCCUCCCACCACACCCCGAGGGAAGAAGUGGCAGGCCUUACCCGGAGACUACAAGGAACCGCCCGUGUGAGCCAGUGGAAGACUCGCGUCCCCAGGCAAAAUAUAAGUCCUGGGUUAAUAGUCUGAAGUCUGUCAUUAAGCAAUAGGUUAUCCAGCUGCCCAGAUUUUUUUCUUUUUUGCUUUGGCUGCAACUCGACCCGUGGGAACUUAAUUGGCAAUGUAAAUUAGACAAUUUACAAAAAAACACCUCCUUUUACUUUCACCUGUGAAAGGAAGCGCUUAAAAUGCCAUACAGGUGUAACCAUUAUAGAAUAGAUAUGCGUGAGACAAGGAUUUACAAAAUUUCCUCACCUCCUCUCCUCCAGAUUCCAUGCACAAGGCGUCUAGCUAGAGGAGUUAGCAAAUAGUCUAUAACGUGAAGGUUCAAACUCUAGUAUAAUUCCACCGUUUUUGUUUUUUUCUUUUUUUGAGGCAAGGUCUCACUCUGUCUCCCAAGCUGGAGUGUAGUGGCGCGAUCUCGGCUCACUGCAGCAUCGUCUUCUGGGUUCAAGCGAUCCUCCGGCCUCAGCUGGACUACAGGUAUGACACACAGAUGUCUAAGCAACUGCCUUCCAGCAGUGAUUGAUUUUGCUGGUUCCCCACACAAAAAGUUUGGAAGAGACCCUUAUGUCUUCUGUAGAGUUUCUUGGUUGUAAGCAGCAAGCACUGGUGCUGGCUAACUUAAGCAAAUAAAGAAUAUAUCACUCAGACAUCAAAGAAACAGCUGGAAAUCUGGCUUGGCAAAGGCCGGAUUAGGGCACUCCUGGGGAUGUGGGUAGUAGGAAUAGUCUAUAGUUUUUCCUCAGUGCCAACACUGGGAAAGAAUAUGUUCCAAUUAUUUUCAUUUUCCUAUCCUUUUGUCUUUCUUCAGAAGAAGCAAAGUUGAGAGAUAGUCUUUCAUAGCUUUUCCCAUAAGGUAUGUUCUCCUUGGGCAACAUUUUCAACUCAACCUUUAGCCCUUAGCUUGCUUUUUCUUUUUUUUUUUCUUUAUUUUUUUUAUUUUUGAGACGAGGGUCUUGCUCUGUCACCCAGGCUAGAGUACAGUGGCAUGAUCAUGGCUCACUGCAGCCUCAACCUCUCAGGCUCAAGCAGUUCUCCCACCUCAGCCUCCCAAGUAGCUGGGACUACUGGCGCGAGCCACCAUGCCCAGCUAACUUUUGUUUAUUUUUUAUAGAGACAGGGUCACACUAUGUUGCCCAGGGUGGUCUCAAACUCUGGUUUGAGCAAUCUGCCCACCUUGGCCUCCCAAAGUGCUGGGAUUACAGGCAUGAACCACCUCACCUGGCCUUUCUUUAUUCAUCAUGAAUAUACCCUGCUUAGCCUGGUCAACAUGGAGAAACUCUGUCUCUACAAAACAAAAAUUAGCCAGGCAUGGUGGUGUGGCCUGUAGUCCCAGCUACUGAGGAGGCUGAGGUGGGAGGAUCACUUGAACCUGGCAGGUGGAGGCUGCAGUGAACUGAGAUCACAUCACUGCACUUCAGCCUGGGAGACAGAGACCCUGCCUCAAAAAACAAACAAACAAACAAACAAAAAAGAAUAUAUUCCGCUUUUCUAUCCCUAAUUGUCUGCUCAAGCAGUGUGCCUGACAGUCACAUGACCCCUUCUAGGAAGCCUUGGAAAGUCUGCCCUGCCUAUUGCCCCUUUUUGAGGACUUCAUUAUGCAACCUACAAUUCUUGGCUCAGCUGAAGGAGCAAGAGCAGGGCCUCCUAAAUGGCACCUUUCUAUUAGGCUUACCAAAGGCCUGGUAUAUGUGCUUUGCCCAACAGGAAAUCUCUAUACUGAGUAGCAUUGAACCAUCUAGAUUUCUCUCUUGGGUAGGUUUAACCGUGACGCAUGCAAAGGACAGUCCUUAGUCAAGGUAGAUGCAGAAAGGCUCACAGAGGGAAGUGAGAGCAGAGAGUAAGCAGAAGCCAUGGGACAGCCUAAAGGAGAAUACAGAAAAGAUGACCAGGAGCGGCAGAAGCAAGAGCAGAGAGAGAAUGAUUGAGACCCCAGAGUGCGGAAACACUAGGGUAGGGAGCAAAGGAUGGCGCCCCCUGCUGAGAGGUCCAGAAUGGUGGGCUGCAGUUAAAUCUUCAACAACCUUCUGCAGCAGCGUGAUGUCUCUGCUUUUAUGUCUCUGUAUUGUUGCAAUAAAUUCUUACUCUUUAUCUGAUGUAACCUGAGUGUUUUUCUAUUCCUUGAGCCCAGAAAGAGCCUAAUACACCAUUACUACCCCCUUUCCUGUUCUCAUCUCUCCCAUUUUAAUCUGUAACCAACAACCUUGUGGAUACCUCCUUUCCUUUCAACAGCCAUCUCUUCAGGGUCUCAUGUUGUUCUUCGCUCUUCUGACUCUUCUGAAAUACAUCUCUUUUCCAGAUACCUACUAACCACCGCUAUCUAUAUCUCAGUCACCUGUCAGCACCUAAUACAGGUCAAAGGCCCCAUUCUCAAUGAGUUACAAUAGAAGGUGAUUUUACUUUAUUCACUGAAGUCACAAAGAUCAAGGGUGGGAACUUCAUGGGCCGGCAGUCUCUGGGCCUAAAUUGGAAGUAUGAACCAAAUCACUGACUCCUGGUGUUAGAUUUGUUAGAGUCCUCAGAAAUAAUCUAGUUCAACCUCAAGCCUAAAGCCAGACUGUCCUCAAUCACAUUAGGAAGAAGUUUUCCCACCCCUGUCUGUGGCUGGGAACUUUCCAGACAGGCAGGUCACUACUUCACAGUGCAGCCCAACCAUUUGUUUUCCAACAUUAAGAAUGCGGGGCCAGGCAUGGUGGCUCACGCCUAUAAUUCCAGCACUUUGCGAGGUCCAGGCGGGCAGAUCGUUUGAGCCCAGGAGCUCAAGACAAGCCUGGGCAACAUGACAAAACCUUGUCUCUACCAAAAAAAAAAAAAAAAAAAAAAAAAAGGCUGGGCAUGGUGGCACACACCUGUAGUCUGAGACUGAGACCGGAGGAUCACCGGAGCCCAGAAGGUCGAGGCUGCAGUGAGCCAUGAUCGUGCCACUGCACUCCAGCACUGGCAACAGAGUUAGAGGCUGUCUCAAAAAAAACAAAAAUGUUUGAAGACAACAGUCAUGAGCUACCUUGAUAUUUCUUUUCCAGGCUUACAUUCCCCCAUGUCUCAACCCAUCUUCAUGCUCCAACUAGUCAUGGUAGUCUAACACAGUUAGACUAACACAGAAUUAAACAAAUCACAACUUUUUCUGUGAAGCCAAAGAGGGUAGGAAAGUCUUAUCUUAGUAAGUCCUAUUAUAAUAUCAAUUUUUCUAAACCUAUGGCCUUUUUUCCAUACAUGUCAUCUCUGACCUCUCCACUGCUGUCUGGUGGUAGCUAAUUUUUCUCACUUAAUAGAGACCAGGGGGAAGGAGGUGGUGGAGUUAGAUUGGAGAAAGAAAGCAGGGAGUGCAGCAAAGAAGUUAUACAUUUAUAUACAAAUUCCUGGCCUCAUGAAGUUUAUAAUCUAAUUUGGUAGGCAAAGUAUACAAUUAAAACUCAUAAAAAAGACA
RNAcentral lists this long non-coding RNA (3791 nucleotides) under Homo sapiens (human). Its description in RNAcentral is "HSALNT0248971". The record is from RNAcentral. Lineage: Eukaryota; Metazoa; Chordata; Mammalia; Primates; Hominidae.